GAUGAAGAACGCAGCGAAAUGCGAUAAGUAAUGUGAAUUGCAGAAUUCAGUGAAUCAUCGAAUCUUUGAACGCACCUUGCACCCUUUGGCAUUCUGAAGGGUAUGCUCGUUUGAGUGUCAUUGUACUCUCACACUCCCGAUCUUUGCAUUGGGAGCAGUGGACUUGGGUUUGCUGCUUCACCGUCGCUUACCUCAAAUAGGAUAGUGCAACUCUUGGUUGGACAUAGUACGGCGUGAUAAGUGUUCUUCGCCGGUGCCUCGCAAAGAGGGUGGCCGAUCGGGAUGUUGUGCUCCAAACCGUCUUCGGACAAUCUCUGACGACUUGACCUCAAAUCGAGUAAGACUACCCGCUGAACUUAAGCAUAUCAAUAAGCGGAGGA
Molecule: unclassified non-coding RNA, 380 nt
Filed under: soil metagenome
Description: partial contains 5.8S ribosomal RNA, internal transcribed spacer 2, and large subunit ribosomal RNA
Rfam family: 5.8S ribosomal RNA (bases 1-120)
Source: RNAcentral